This 81-nucleotide transfer RNA is filed under the name Caballeronia choica. RNAcentral describes it as "tRNA-Glu". The record is from RNAcentral. Lineage: Bacteria; Pseudomonadati; Pseudomonadota; Betaproteobacteria; Burkholderiales; Burkholderiaceae.
CUUCGCCGGAGCCGCCCUUGACGAGCGUUCGCGCUUUCGUCGCGAGCGGUUCGGGCCGCGUGCGAAGGCGCGCGACGAACA